CGUUCGGGGGAACUUUCUCUAAAUGUAUUUCCCACAGCACCUGGAAGAUAACAGAAUGCCAGCAGUCCUCCGUGUGGGAGGAGCUGUCCUCUGUGUGGGAGGAGCUGUCCUCUGUGUGGGAGGAGCCGUCCUCCAUGUGAGAGGAGCUGUCCUCUGUGUGGGAGGAGCUGUCCUCUGUGUGGGAGGAGCCGUCCUCCAUGUGAGAGGAGCCGUCCUCUGUGUGGGAGGAGCUGUCCUCCGUGUGGGAGGAGCUGUCCUCAGUGUGGGAGGAGCCGUCCUCCGUGUGGGAGGAGCCGCCCUCUGUGUGGGAGGAGCUGUCCUCCUGUGGGAGGAGCUGCCCUCUGUGUGGGAGGAGCUGUCCUCCGUGUGGGAGGAGCUGUCCUAUGUGUGGGAGGAGCCGUCGGAGCAGCACUAGUCGUAUGUUGGGUUUGCAUAUUGACAUCGUAGCUUGUGGAACAACUAAAAUAACUGACAAAACUCAGGGGAAACUGUCUUUCAAUGUACCACAGAAUCAGGACCUGAAUGGGUUCCUACAAAAAUUUAUGAUGGAAGCUCUGGAUCAGCAUCCACACAACGGAGCGGCAGUAGGAGACGAGGCUGACACCCCCCGCUGGAUGAGCUUCUUCUCCCAUCACAAAAAAGCCUGACGGACGUGAGCAGGGAGGACGACUGGAAGGCGCCGCUGGAUCAGUCGGCGUUCCCGGGCUGGCUGCCCUUCUCCUCCAUGGCGGAGCUUUUUAAUGAUUUUAAUUGUUAAUUUGUUUCUUUAACAAAUAG
Long non-coding RNA from Scophthalmus maximus (turbot), 777 nucleotides. RefSeq lists it as uncharacterized. The transcript is spliced from 3 exons. The record is from RefSeq and is a predicted model, not a curated record. NCBI's taxonomy places the organism in Eukaryota, Metazoa, Chordata, Actinopteri, Pleuronectiformes, Scophthalmidae.